Molecule: long non-coding RNA, 1350 nt
Filed under: Cricetulus griseus (Chinese hamster)
Lineage: Eukaryota; Metazoa; Chordata; Mammalia; Rodentia; Cricetidae
Description: lncRNA (ENSCGRG00015032706.1)
Source: RNAcentral
CCAUCCCGGAACAGGGACCGCUCCGAUUCUGCCAUCACCUCGCCACAGAAAAGUUCUUUACUCCUUUUGCCUUCAGAUUUCUCCCAGGGACUAGAACUUGGCCUCUGGAUUACAGGGAGGGUGGAAGUCAUGUCCUUCCCUACACAGAGAGAAAGCGGACCCACGGAGUGGGGUCUGGAGGAAGUCCCUCCCCUUAAUUGAUUUUCUGUAGUGCGGAAUCCGCAGUGCAGAUUUGAAUUUUGCUUUUCAGUAGCCUGCGUUUGCCAGGAGGGUGCAGCCAGGACGAAGAAGCUCGAGUUGGAGACGAGACUGACGGUUGGGGUCACAGCAAGUUGCCUGAUGAAAUGCUGGAGCUCAGUUCAUUCUGCCUCACCCCUGGCUAAGAGAAAGCAGCAGGCACCAGCGGGGCAGUCGCGUUUCAGGUGAUGCGUACCUGAGGAAGUCUCUACCCUCUCCCGACCCUGAGAUAAGCUGUGUGGAAGCUCUCCACGGAGGACCAGAAGCAAAGAAUGCUCAAUACACCUCCUUCGUCUGUCCCCAUAGUACACCAGAGAUGGCCAAAAUGCUCCUGGCUGAGAUGACAGCAAUAAGCUGGGGGCUCAAUGAUCCUGAGCUUCUGAGGUCUUUAUUGGCGUUCUGAAAUAGCCUGAAACAUACCCAACUGAUGUUUAAUCUAUCUGUCCACUUGAAGAGAUCUAGAAUCCCUUGGGAGACAGGCUCUGGGCAUGUCUAUGGGGGAUUAUCUGGACUAAGGUGAGAAGACCUGCCCACUAUGGGUGGCACCGUGCCAUAGGCUUGAGGCCACUCAUCACUCUUCCUGAUUAUGACCCAAAGCUUCAAGACCCUGCUGCUUUGACUUCCCCACUGUGAUGGACUGUACCUGGGACUAUGAGCCAAAAUAAACCCUUUAAGUUGAGAGUAUUUCAUCACAGCAAGGAGAAAAGAAACUAUGACACCUGAUGAGCCAGAACUUCCUCCAGAAAGGUCAACCAAUGCUAAUAAACUCCAGACCAUUGGGGCUCACCAGCUUGUAAAGUAACCUAUUCUAAUGUCAGCUCUGUUGGUCAAUGAGAUCUAAUUCAAAGGGAGAAUUUCCCUUUGAUCCAAGCAACAGUUUGAUUCAGAAUGAGCUGGUCUGAUAUCUGCCUAAAAGGCUGGACCUCUUUCCCACCUCAAUGGAUGGGUCAAGCUACUCCUGUAGGAUGCCUCAUUUAGUUCAUCCCCCAUCUUUUACCACCUUAUGGGAUCCAAGCAUCCUACCAGCUAGGAUGGUCUUUGACUAUUAGAUGCCUACAGGUCCACAAACUCCAGGGACUCUCUGGACAGAUCCUGCAGCGGUUUUAAAGGUAC